GCUGGCUAACAUUUGGGCUGCCGUUUGCCAGACGGAGAGAACGAGUCCCAGGGAAUGGAAGCGAUUUGCCCAACACUUGCUUCAUCUCCUGCCACACUCAGCAUCUCCUUCCCAUCCCCCUCUUCUGACCACACAACCACCAAGCUACUGCUCCCACCUCAACAAGCUUUGCUUGGACCCAGCGCACGCUCUUUCAACAUCUGUGCCUUUACCCAUGGUGCUCCAGGGCUGCCUAGUACAGCUGUGCAAGUUGGACACAGCACAAGGGUGCCACAUGCACGUUGUAGACGUCGCAGAUUUAUACCAAUAAUUUCUGGCAGAUGGCAGUAAAACGUCUCGAGGAGAAAGAUCCCAGUUUGGUGCAAACGUGUCUUUCAUACCUCUCUCCAGAGCUUGCUCAUCGCUCAUCUUGACAAAGAGCAAGGCAGGCUGACAGCCUUGAUGAGGCAGUGGUGUCUGCUGAGCAUUCAAUACUUGGCCUUCUGUAAAUUGUAUUUAUUUAUACGAUUGCUUUCUAUCUAUGGCAUAUGAUGCUGACUUUCCGCUUCCUGUAGCGUUAUAAAGUUUUAUGUACAAAUCAAUGCA
Equus asinus (donkey) is the source of this 585-nucleotide long non-coding RNA. NCBI's taxonomy places the organism in Eukaryota, Metazoa, Chordata, Mammalia, Perissodactyla, Equidae. The record is from Ensembl.